This 497-nucleotide ribosomal RNA is filed under the name uncultured bacterium. Its description in RNAcentral is "partial 16S ribosomal RNA". It matches the Rfam family "Bacterial small subunit ribosomal RNA", at positions 28 to 507 of the family's 1533-position model. The record is from RNAcentral.
GAUGAACGCUGGCGGCGUGCCUAAUACAUGCAAGUCGAGCGAACAGAUGAGGAGCUUGCUCCUCUGACGUUAGCGGCGGAAGUGUGAGUAACACGUGGAUAACCUACCUAUAAGACUGGGAUAACUUCGGGAAACCGGAGCUAAUACCGGAUAAUAUAUUGAACCGCAUGGUUCAAUAGUGAAAGACGGUUUUGCUGUCACUUAUAGAUGGAUCCGCGCCGCAUUAGCUAGUUGGUAAGGUAACGGCUUACCAAGGCAACGAUGCGUAGCCGACCUGAGAGGGUGAUCGGCCACACUGGAACUGAGACACGGCCCAGACUCCUACGGGAGGCAGCAGUAGGGAAUCUUCCGCAAUGGGCGAAAGCCUGACGGAGCAACGCCGCGUGAGUGAUGAAGGUCUUCGGAUCGUAAAACUCUGUUAUUAGGGAAGAACAAAUGUGUAAGUAACUAUGCACGUCUUGACGGUACCUAAUCAGAAAGCCACGGCUAACUACGUG